GGUCGCGUAGCUCAGUUGGUUUAGAGCACCACGUUGACAUCGUGGGGGUCAGCGGUUCAAGUCCGUUCGCGACCACCA
RNAcentral lists this transfer RNA (78 nucleotides) under bacterium. RNAcentral describes it as "tRNA-Val". It matches the Rfam family "tRNA". From Rfam's summary of the family: Transfer RNA (tRNA) molecules are approximately 80 nucleotides in length. Their secondary structure includes four short double-helical elements and three loops (D, anti-codon, and T loops). The record is from RNAcentral.